UGGGAUGUAGCUUGGUGGUAAAGCACUUGCCUAGCAUGUACAAAGCCUGGGUUUAAUCCUCAGCACCACAA
This 71-nucleotide transfer RNA is filed under the name Heterocephalus glaber (naked mole-rat). It matches the Rfam family "tRNA". From Rfam's summary of the family: Transfer RNA (tRNA) molecules are approximately 80 nucleotides in length. Their secondary structure includes four short double-helical elements and three loops (D, anti-codon, and T loops). Lineage: Eukaryota; Metazoa; Chordata; Mammalia; Rodentia; Bathyergidae. The record is from Rfam by way of RNAcentral.